AGUUCCAUGGUGUAAUGGUUAUCACAUCAGAUUUUGACUCUGAUAAUCUGAGUUCGAUUCUCAGUGGGACCU
RNAcentral lists this transfer RNA (72 nucleotides) under Daphnia pulicaria. RNAcentral describes it as "tRNA-Gln". It matches the Rfam family "tRNA". Rfam says of the family: Transfer RNA (tRNA) molecules are approximately 80 nucleotides in length. The record is from RNAcentral. Lineage: Eukaryota; Metazoa; Arthropoda; Branchiopoda; Diplostraca; Daphniidae.